AGAGUUUGAUCCUGGCUCAGAAUGAACGCUGGCGGCGUGCUUAACACAUGCAAGUCGCACGAGAAAGCCUUGGCUUGCCAGGGCGAGUAAAGUGGCGCACGGGUGAGUAACGCGUGGGUAAUCUACCCUCGAAUUUGGGAUAACACCGCGAAAGCGGUGCUAAUACCGGAUAACAUCAUAUUUUCUUCGGAGGAUAUGAUCAAAGGUGGCCUCUACAUGUAAGCUACUGUUUGGGGAUGAGCCCGCGUACCAUUAGCUAGUUGGUAGGGUAAAGGCCUACCAAGGCGACGAUGGUUAGCUGGUCUGAGAGGAUGAUCAGCCACACUGGAACUGACACACGGUCCAGACUCCUACGGGAGGCAGCAGUGAGGAAUUUUGCGCAAUGGGGGAAACCCUGACGCAGCAACGCCGCGUGAGUGAUGAAGGCCUUCGGGUCGUAAAACUCUGUCAAGUGGGAAGAACCUAUGUAAGGUUAAUACCCUUAUGUACUGACGGUACCACUGAAGGAAGCACCGGCUAACUCCGUGCCAGCAGCCGCGGUAAUACGGAGGGUGCAAGCGUUAUUCGGAUUUAUUGGGCGUAAAGGGCGCGUAGGCGGUCUUGUAAGUCAGAUGUGAAAGCCCGGGGCUCAACCCCGGAAGGGCAUUUGAUACUGCGAGACUUGAGUAUGGGAGGGGGAAGUGGAAUUCCUGGUGUAGAGGUGAAAUUCGUAGAUAUCAGGAGGAACACCAGUGGCGAAGGCGACUUCCUGGACCAAUACUGACGCUGAUGCGCGAAGGCGUGGGGAGCAAACAGGAUUAGAUACCCUGGUAGUCC
RNAcentral lists this ribosomal RNA (816 nucleotides) under uncultured bacterium. Its description in RNAcentral is "bacterial SSU rRNA". It matches the Rfam family "Bacterial small subunit ribosomal RNA", at positions 8 to 796 of the family's 1533-position model. The record is from RNAcentral.